Long non-coding RNA from Gasterosteus aculeatus aculeatus (three-spined stickleback), 5544 nucleotides. Lineage: Eukaryota; Metazoa; Chordata; Actinopteri; Perciformes; Gasterosteidae. The record is from Ensembl.
GUAGUUGUGGUAGUUACAGCAUGAUACAGCAUGGUAGUUGUGGUAGUUAUGAUACGUUAUGGUAGUUGUGGUAGUUACAGCAUGAUACGGCAUGGUAGUGUGUGGUAGUCCUGCCUGCUUUAUGGGGACAUUAAUAUUGCAGCUCAUAUGUUUUGCUGCAGGUGAGCAGGGAGGUGAAGAGGCACUGACCCACUUCAAUAAUGAGGUACAAUGAGAUCCAAUCCGAAAGCCAGCGAGGGAAGUCUAUAUUUUAUUCAUAUGGAUAUUAACACUGGGGAGGGGGAGAAGACACUGAUUAAUAUCAAUAUCUUGACAAAAGGAAGUGUCUCUAAAACGGCCGGCUAAUUUGUGCUCUGCAGAAACACUUUUAUGAAAAAGACAAAAAGCUGGGUGAUUAAUUUGGGCUCGUAGGGCCAAAACCCCCCACAACCCACACACACACACACAGACACACACAUUCACACUGCUUCAUUCCUCCCCAAAAGUGGUACCGGUGUUUAGAGCUACACUAGUUGAGCACAGGGGAGGUUCAGCUGCGGAAUGCACCAGAGUUAUGAUGGCGGGAGCCCACGCACUCUGUAAGGUUCCCCCGUAGAUGCAGUUAAUGGAUGCACACAAUGAGCCUCAAUGGCCCUGCGAUGAUGGAUGUGGGCCACUGUGUGAAAGGCUCCACAGACAAACCAGCCAGGACAACUUAGAAAAGUGGUAGGAGAGCAAGAGGAGGGGAGCGUACACUGCAGAAAUGUUGCCAGGGAACAUUUGGAGAAAUAUAAUUGCGGUGCAGUAUUCCUGAGCGGGGUUUUAAUUGCGCAGAGAGGGAAACAGAUUGGCUGAGAAUCUUGCUGAGGAACCCAGAAGUGUCUGAGCUGGAAAUGAGCUUGAAUGCAUGUGUGUCACAUAAUGGUGUGGGACAAUGAAUAGAUUUAAUUUCACUUUUUUUCUGGCCAAAACAGUCUCAAUUAACAAUAUUAUCUAGACAAUACAUUAUUUAUUUAAAAAAAAGUCAAAUAAUUUACAUUUCGUUAAAAAACGAAUACUUAAAUUCAUCAGAGAGAAGUUAAUAAAGAGUCUCUAAUACAUGAUCAUAAAUCAUAAGGUCAUAAGGAUGAAGUAGAUUUUUAAAUAAUUAUUCCUUUAAUUAUAAAAACAGUCUAUUAUUUCCAUCCCUCUACCAUAAUAACAAAGUCACUCGUCUGACAAUAUUUAAAAUGAUUUCAUUCAAGGAAAAAAUCUUUUCUUGACCCAGAAUUAAAACCUGUAUCGUCUCUAAUAUACAAAUACAAAUUUGUACAAAAUAGACAAAAGAAUCAAGAAUAUAAAUAUAAAAUAUUAAGAUCAGACGAACAAGCAUGUUUACUAUGGACAUAGUUCUGUUGAAACAGAUAAAAGGAACAAACUAACAUUCACUGAAUAAUCCUUGAGAAGAAGACCUGAUGUUAUGUCUUGAUUUCCUGUUGUGUCUGAGUGCAUAACAAUGAGACUUGCAUUCACGCUUUCAUAUUGUUCAUGUUUUAACACUUGAGUGUGGGUGUCUUCUUUUAGCGUUGGAGCUAUAAAGGUCAUCUCAACUAGCACUCAAAUAUUCCUCUACAUACAGUGUACUGAACCAUGACCUCAACAGUUUUUAUUUCUAGUUGCUUUUUUAUUGUAAUUAAAAAAUAUGUAAAUAAGUAAUAAGUAAAUGUCACGAAUUUUUUGACUUUUAACCCCCAAAUAGUUCCUACUUAUCGGCUUAAUCCAUAAUGUACUUUGUUUUACUUUGUUUUCUCAUAAAUUUAAACCAUGUUUUGAGUUUCUCAACGGACUGCAAGAGCACCAAAGUCCCAUUUGGCCGUUGACCUUCACAAAACCACACAGUCACGCCCUAAUUGGCGCCGGUGCAAAACUCACCAGCCAAACCUGCUCCGCGCCUCGUGGAACAAUCAGAAGAGCCCCGGCCUGCUGCAGUAACAGCGAAUACGGCCAACGCCGUACCGCGGUAGUGAGCAUUAUCUACGGCGCCACUUGGCCGACUGCGUCUCGCCCACAGCGAAUCACCCCAUUACGGUUUUCUUUUUCCUCCUUAUACUUGGCCUGCCCCCAUCAGCACCUCGUCCCGAGGGGCAGCCAUUAGGCCCAAAGCAGGAGCCUCCACUCAGGGUCUGAUGGAUGUGCCUGGUGGGUGCGCUCGUCGCAUUGGGGGGGCGGGGGUGCGGACCCUACACCGACGGAGGUGAUUAUGCACAGUGGGCCCAUUGUGAACGUUCUGCAGUGGGAGGGCGCAGGCUGCUGCAUUGCCGGUGUGAUUGCGGUGCGUCGGAGAUGACCGGGGGGGGGGCUCUCGCCCUCUGACCUCUGCUCCGAUGUUUACCGCUUCCUGUCGUCACACACCAGGUAACAGCAGAAGUGUGGGGGGGGCAUAAAAGGGCGGCCGAUCGGUUUCCUCCGCGGUCGCAGCCAUCCCGAAGCCAUCGCUUGACACCGUGGUCCGCUAGUUAUGAUGAAUGGUAUGAAGCCGCACCCCACAUUCCGUCUGCUGAACUGCAGUGUCAGAGGAACUUUGUGUUUCGCUGCAGUGGCCUCGUCCUGCCCUUCUCCCGUAUCGUGUUCUGUUCCAAUGAGCAGCUCCGCUCGGGCCUGUCACUACUCCCCUUUCUUUCCCAGACCGGAGCCUGGUCACAUGGAGGAAAAGGGGGAGGGAGGAUUCAACAAUGGGCUCCAUAUAACCAAGAAAACUAGUAUUUACUGCAAGCGAUGCUCAAAAAGUGCGAUUCAAGACAGAAUGAAUGUGCCAGUUGGACGGCGGCUAAUCACACAUUUGUCAAAAGGGGCUUUUUUUCGCGCCGUGAAUCUGUUUUGGCUCCGGCUCGUGACGCCUGUCAAGGCGCUGAACACGUGUUGUGUCUCGAGCGCCCCGCCGAACGUUACAUAAACACAGAUAAAUAGGGCGUAGCAGGAACAGCAUACAGCGAUGCUUCCCCGGGGAUUGUCAUUUAUCGUUGGUUGUUUUUGAUUGUUUAAAGCGCGAGCAUGUGAGGCAUGUGUCUCAUAUUCUCUUAUCUGCUCGGCAUUCGUUGCAUUUGGAGAUGACAGGCUAAACAAACACCGCAUUCGCCUUUUCCAAAUCAUAACUGGUCCCACAUGGCCCCGCAAUGAUAAGUGGGUGUUUUCUAAUCGGGUUAAGUAAACCCGGGCAGCGAUCCGCUCCCUCCUGGAGGCGUUCUCCUUCUCCGUGUCAUCGCGCCGGACCUCUCUAAGCCCAGUUCACGGUCUCACUCGUCUGAGACGAAUACCAAAGCUCGGUGCAUCCGAUAAUGAAACAGCAGUGACGGGAGAAGAAGGUCACAUUGACUCCACGGCUAAUCUCCAUCCUCUCCAGUCAAGCACACACGGUGACAGACAAAUGAGCUGCUCUCAGAUGCAUUAACACCACAAACAAAUCCGCCAUUCUGCAUCCAGUUGCAAUGCCCAGGCGACGGCGUCUCCCCUUGGCGUCCCGCAGGGCGAUCUCUCCGUCAGCCGCGUGACGCGGGGCCUGAUGAUGACUCUAUCACAGGUGACAGUGACAAGCAGGUCCCUCAUCACACCUCAUGUACAAGUGAUGUCAGAACAGCUGCGCGCUUCAAAAGAAAAGCCCGCGUGUCCUCAUUUGUUGCUUUCCGCCACUUCAUCAUCCGGACACAAUGACACCAGGUAGCCGAGGCGGAUACUGUGAAAGUCACUAAAGAGGAGGCAUUGUUUCAUUUGAGAUGAAAAUAUAUUAUCUCCUCGUCUUAAGGGGCCGAGAGAAGCCACCUGCCAGAACCCCCCCCAAAAAAACAAUCUUUAAAUAUAAAUAAAGCUAAAGCUUACAGAUCACCACGCGAAAAAGAAAAGCAUCACAUCACACACAAUCAUUAAAAAACACAAACAGCAUGUGUUUAUUGAGGAUCCACCUUCAGCAGCAGGCUAACACAGAAGCGCUAAGACGCGUGGCUAUGAUUGGCCGGGCUGCGUCGGAGAGGGCGGGACUUGGCAAAUGGUCAACUGGUAAUGUAACAGCAACACCUGAAGCUGAAGUGCAGGUCCACACACGUGUCGGCCAUACGUGAGCAUGGCUUUGAUAUUGUGCUGUUAUACCAGCAGGACGAUUUCCCUUCUUUCAUCUGCAGCUCAGUUGUUACAACUAGAUGGCACAAUAUAUGGCUGCUCAUAUUUAAAACGUUUGUCAUUUGCCCCAAAAUAAUAGUGUUUGUGUGUGUGUGUGUGUGUGUGUGUGCGCGUGUAGCAGGAAGGAUCUGGCACCGAGCACACGGCUGCUAUAACCGUCCCACUCUCACAGUUUGGAAGGUGCCAGAGAAGUCAAAGUGAUUCCAACACGCCAUGUGUUCCAAUUCUUCUCAAUUUAGUUAAAAGCGAAAGGGGUAAAAACGUGCGGACUGCACAUUAUCCUGUUGGUGUGUCUUUGCUCCACCCGGGACUUGUUCGGGUGGGGAAGCGUGUGCUCCACCCUCAGCUGAUCGUUCUGACGAUCCAGCCGGCGGCGUCUCUGCCGUGUGGCGUUGACCUCAUGCUUCUAGUUCCUGCAGAGACCCCCAGUAGGGACACACAUUCGUUCGCUUCACUUCUGUGGAGGCUAAAAGUUAUUCCUUUUAUUGGGUUGUUUUUUUUGCACCAGAGACCCUCAGCUUUCCCCUAUAAGACGUGCAUUCCUUGUUAGAUGUCCGUGUGACACAGAAGGUGGAGGACGUGUGCUCAGGUCUGUUAGGACGUAUCACAUUAGCAUUCCUAACUACUGCCAUCGCUUCAAUCAGCAGAGACAAGACGGAGAAAGACAGAUAAUUGUUCGUGAUUAAUAAAUGAUACGAUGAAGACAAAGUCUUCUUGGUCUCAGACUCUACAGGGAGGUUUGUAAUCGGUCUGCCCUGAGCAGCAGGAUGAAUCCCCCCCCCCCCCCCGUGGAGUCCGAACACUGGUGGAGCUGAAUGAUGAGCUGAUGAAGCUCGGGCGGAGAUGUGGAGGUGAAGUGACAGCAGCAAGGUGACAGGCUGGGGUCCCCCUGCCCCCCCACACACACACUAUAUUCAGCGGCAGAUCGCCGUGGUUAUUUUAAGCCAAAGGACCCAAACUUAUUCUUAAUAGGAUUUUGUUUUAUUGGGAAGAAGUUCUUUAUGAAAAAGAGUGGAAAUUGUCACGUGUCGCGGAAAAAUGAGGAUGUCACAUGAACCGUUAAGAAGAUACGUUGAAUACUCACAUGAUCAUGUAGGUUUCUGAUAAGAUGUAACCUUCUACAACCAGCCUUUUGUUUGUUACGGCAAUGAGAGAUACCAAGUCCCACUACCGUCCUGUGCGGGUUGUGGACGGAUGUCUCCUCCGAGGCGGCGUGGAACCGCUGAUGUGCUUUAAGGCUCACUAAUUAACACAUUAGCCUGCGAGCAUUCUAAUCUGAUGAGUGUGAAAUGUUCCUGGUUUCCCAGGAGGUUCUUUGCUCUAGAAUAAGUUUGCCCGGCGCAUUUUGUACGUACAAAGUCCCCUCAAACAGAGCUGUGCGCUCUCCAGUCGUACUGCUGAGCUUGAGUGACGGAC